RNAcentral lists this long non-coding RNA (1408 nucleotides) under Pogona vitticeps (central bearded dragon). RNAcentral's name for it is "lncRNA (ENSPVIG00000023745.1)". Lineage: Eukaryota; Metazoa; Chordata; Lepidosauria; Squamata; Agamidae. The record is from RNAcentral.
AUGACGGGGAUUCUCUCUCCCAUACAAGUCAUCUGCACACCAGCGACAGCGAUUGUGGCUUCUCUUGUAGUUGCAGAUUUUGUUGUUUUUUCCAAGACCCAAAUGUAUUUUCACCCCUGUUUUGCUUUCCACUUUGGCUCUUGCCCCUUCUCAUUUCCUAUUACUCAGUCCCAUAACUGUGAUACCAGCUCAUUCACAUCUUUCCCACUUCUCUGUGUGUAUGUUAUUCCAAACCUCCCUCCCACUUCUCUCUCGGUCAUCAGCCUUUCUUUCAGGCUGUUGCCUGUUAUCCGAGUGAUACGUUGCCUAUCAGUUUUAUAUCCUCCUUCUGGUGCUACUUCACUAUCUUGUUUUCUAUCUUCUCUUUUCAUACAUAUUGUCCCCUUUUCCACCUCCAAUUUUAUAUAACUUGAAGUCAUCUUUAUGUGUUUUUAUUUAUAAAAUAGUUUUAUUGGACUCCAUAUUGUCUCCGUGUGGCUUAUUUCCUUGAUUGGCCCCAAAAUGAGGCCUGCCUAUUUUGUACCUAAUGGUUCUGAGACUUGAGUGAGACGAUUCAAUUCCAUUUGGUUUAGUUUGUAUUUUGUUACUUCUUUUUGUGUCUGUACGCCUAGACUCCGUGGAAAUGAGUGUUUUUGGUUCCUCCUGCUUCGGAAACAGAAUCUCCCAGCGCUGAACAAGGUUUCGAAUCAAUGUCUUACAAAACUGUAGAUCAUAUUUAACGCCUGUUUUCUAGGAAAAGGUGCUCUAGAACAAAUGGGAGUAAGAGGAGAACAGCAGGAACAAGGAGAGCGCAGAGACAGAAGAACGUUUAGGACUGGUGGCUUGAGCCCAAGGAGGAGUUUGUAAAGAUAAGACAUUGUGGUGAAGUGUAAGGCAUUAGCUUGAAAAGGCUGAUAAGUGUGUAGAUGUCACUAUGACUGCUCACUUGGAGAUCGACGGGCCCGUGGGUGCAUGGCUGUGGCCUUGUGUUCCCUGUGAAAUGCCAUGAGAAGUGUAUAGUCUGGGUCUAUUGCAGCAGUGGAAGGGAGCCCAAAGAAAUCCAUAAAUUUGCUUGGAAACAUAUUUCUGUGCUGCUGCUUCCAUUUUAAGAGAGUUCUUGGUAUGGAGAAGACAAAGGCAGGCUUAAGCCCCCUUUCAGGACAGGACUCUUCUUCGGUCUAAACAUGGAUUCGGGUGAUGGUCGUGAUGCUGAUGGAACCCAUUGUUAGCUGGGCUGCAGCCUGGAGGCUUCCUGAACUAGAAGCCGAAGAAGAAUGGCUUAACACACUGGUUCUUAACCUUGGGUUACUCAGGAGUUUUGGACUGCAAGAAUGGCUUAAUGGACAGGCAGAUGCCUCCUUGGCUUGGGACGGGUGGGGAGGUUGAAAGGGUGUCAUUUUCUCAUUCGGCCUGCAUUCCUAUCCCACAA